UCUGAGCUACAAUCACCCAGGACACUCAGGAGUCCAGCUGCUCAAACACAAACGGGAGGAACCAGACUAUAAACUGCAGAUACUCAAUUUGAAUCAUGGAGAACGUUUCAGGAUCAGACCAGGACUGCAAAAAUAUGCCUGUGAUCUCACACUGGAUCCAAACACUGCAAACACUUACAUCAUUCUGUCUGAGGA
Molecule: long non-coding RNA, 195 nt
Organism: Sinocyclocheilus grahami
Lineage: Eukaryota; Metazoa; Chordata; Actinopteri; Cypriniformes; Cyprinidae
Exons: 3
Source: RefSeq, a predicted model, not a curated record